GCUCAGUUGGUAAAGCACAAGGCUCUAAACCUUGUGGACGUGGAUUCAAGUCCCAU
Molecule: transfer RNA, 56 nt
Filed under: Triticum aestivum (bread wheat)
Lineage: Eukaryota; Viridiplantae; Streptophyta; Magnoliopsida; Poales; Poaceae
Also listed under: 1 other name
Rfam family: tRNA
About the family: Transfer RNA (tRNA) molecules are approximately 80 nucleotides in length. Their secondary structure includes four short double-helical elements and three loops (D, anti-codon, and T loops).
Source: Rfam by way of RNAcentral